This 425-nucleotide ribosomal RNA is filed under the name uncultured bacterium. RNAcentral describes it as "partial 16S ribosomal RNA". It matches the Rfam family "Bacterial small subunit ribosomal RNA", at positions 354 to 796 of the family's 1533-position model. The record is from RNAcentral.
GUGGGGAAUCUUGCGCAAUGGGCGAAAGCCUGACGCAGCCAUGCCGCGUGAAUGAUGAAGGUCUUAGGAUUGUAAAAUUCUUUCACCGGGGACGAUAAUGACGGUACCCGGAGAAGAAGCUCCGGCUAACUUCGUGCCAGCAGCCGCGGUAAUACGAAGGGGGCUAGCGUUGCUCGGAAUUACUGGGCGUAAAGGGUGCGUAGGCGGACAGCUUAGUCAGAGGUGAAAGCCCAGGGCUCAACCUUGGAAUUGCCUUUGAUACUGGCUGUCUUGAGUUUGGGAGAGGUGAGUGGAACUCCGAGUGUAGAGGUGAAAUUCGUAGAUAUUCGGAAGAACACCAGUGGCGAAGGCGACUCACUGGCCCAAUACUGACGCUGAGGCGCGAAAGCGUGGGGAGCAAACAGGAUUAGAUACCCCAGUAGUCC